Molecule: ribosomal RNA, 483 nt
Filed under: uncultured bacterium
Lineage: Bacteria
Description: bacterial SSU rRNA
Rfam family: Bacterial small subunit ribosomal RNA
Source: RNAcentral
UAGCGGAACUCCUACGGGAGGCAGCAGUGGGGAAUUUUGGACAAUGGGGGCAACCCUGAUCCAGCAAUGCCGCGUGAGUGAAGAAGGCCAUCGGGUUGUAAAGCUCUUUUGUCAGGGAAGGAACGGUAGUAGCUAAUAUCUAUUACUAAUGACGGUACCUGAAGAAUAAGCACCGGCUAACUACGUGCCAGCAGCCGCGGUAAUACGUAGGGUGCAAGCGUUAAUCGGAAUUACUGAGCGUAAAGCGUGCGCAGGCGGUUGUGUAAGUCAGAUGUGAAAUCCCCGGGCUCAACCUGGGAAUUGCACUUCAGCCUGCACGGCUAGAGUGUGUCAGAGGGGGGUAGAAUUCCCCGUGUAGCAGUGAAAUGCGUAGAUAUGUGGAGGAAUACCGAUGGCGAAGGCAGCCCCCUGGGAUAACACUGACGCUCAUGCACCAAAGCGUGGGGAGCAAACAGGAUUAAAAACCCUAGUAGUCCACUUAUG